GUCCUUUGCUGAAAUGGGAGCUCUCAGGUUGGGCUGGACUUUCAGAUGGCCUGUGACCUUAGAGGACUGCUUUGAGCAUGACUCCACUCUUCACUGGUACAUGAAAGUGGUGAGUCCUCCUUCUACCUACAAGCCCUGGUGCUAGACACCAAGGCAUGCCAGCCAUACACCUAGUGCCAAGAAGUCCCACCAAACAGACAAAGCCCUGCUUAUCAUGAGGGUUUGUCUUCAUUCUCUUUCAGGUGAAUUUUAAACAUCAAGGUAACAGCACACCGUCAUGUUAUAAAUCUAAUGGAUACCUUCUUAUGGCUGUACUACUCAACUUAAUUGAUCACUCCGACCCUUCCAAAUUCA
Erinaceus europaeus (western European hedgehog) is the source of this 354-nucleotide long non-coding RNA. RefSeq lists it as uncharacterized. The transcript has 2 exons. The record is from RefSeq and is a predicted model, not a curated record. NCBI's taxonomy places the organism in Eukaryota, Metazoa, Chordata, Mammalia, Eulipotyphla, Erinaceidae.